CAAAAUCUCUUAUCUCUUAUCAAGUUUUUGAAAGAAUGUUUCUAUCAUUCCCAUUUUCUUCUGAAAAUACGUGAAUUAGUGACAGCCAAGCCCAUUUCUCUCUCAGCUUCCCAGUGUCGUUUCUGGAGUUGGUCAAUUGAGCGAAGGGCUGAAGAGGAGAGUGGGCGUUUGGGGAUUAGGGUUAGGCCUAGUUUCAACGUGGAACUUCCACCGGGGUUUGUGUUGAAGAAGGAGAUGAGGAUGUGUCUGAUUUGGACCAGGCUUCUAGAGAGAAGGAGAAGAGGUCCGUUGGAGUGUUCCAUGAGCUGUUCUCACUUUCCUUGCACAAGAGGAUAGGUUUUCGAAUGCGUUUUCCACCACUUUUACUAGGAAUUCGGGGAUAUUCUAUUUGUCCUUGAAAGAUCAAGCCUGCAGUAUAUCGUUGGAGGUCACAAAUUGUGGAAAACGCUGAAGUUCUGCUGGAUGUUCCUCUGAUAAUUCAGAGGGUAGGAAUACACAUUGUAUAUCUGCUAAGGAUGGAAGAAAUGAAUUGCAUUAUUGGAAGAUGAUCAAAUUCUUCUACCAAAUUACCUUGAGCUGCAAUGACGUAUUUGCAUUUCAUGUUUCAAGAAACAGCUGGAAACCGGCUAAGGAAAGUGUAAAGAAUUUAAAUUUGCCAUGCUAUCAUGCAUGUUACGUAAUGGUAAAGUUAUUGCCUCGUAGCUUGGAGGUUACAAGUUCAAAUCCUAGAAAUAGUUUGGGGAUAAGGCUCUGGAUUACCCUGCUAUAUGUUACUUCAAGAACGGCUGUUUCCUAACUGUCAUCUAACUACUAUUUGAAGGCUCUACAAUAACACUUCUUUUGUUUGUGUGC
Long non-coding RNA from Glycine soja, 852 nucleotides. RefSeq lists it as uncharacterized. The transcript has 2 exons. Lineage: Eukaryota; Viridiplantae; Streptophyta; Magnoliopsida; Fabales; Fabaceae. The record is from RefSeq and is a predicted model, not a curated record.